RNAcentral lists this ribosomal RNA (2923 nucleotides) under Klebsiella pneumoniae. RNAcentral's name for it is "23S ribosomal RNA". It matches the Rfam family "Bacterial large subunit ribosomal RNA". Lineage: Bacteria; Pseudomonadati; Pseudomonadota; Gammaproteobacteria; Enterobacterales; Enterobacteriaceae. The record is from RNAcentral.
GGGUUGUGAGGUUAAGCGACUAAGCGUACACGGUGGAUGCCCUGGCAGUCAGAGGCGAUGAAGGACGUGCUAAUCUGCGAAAAGCGUCGGUAAGGUGAUAUGAACCGUUACAGCCGGCGAUGUCCGAAUGGGGAAACCCAGUGCAAUUCGUUGCACUAUCGUUAACUGAAUACAUAGGUUAACGAGGCGAACCGGGGGAACUGAAACAUCUAAGUACCCCGAGGAAAAGAAAUCAACCGAGAUUCCCCCAGUAGCGGCGAGCGAACGGGGAGCAGCCCAGAGUCUGAAUCAGCUUGUGUGUUAGUGGAACGGUCUGGAAAGUCCGACGGUACAGGGUGAUAGUCCCGUACACCAAAAUGCACAGGUUGUGAACUCGAAGAGUAGGGCGGGACACGUGGUAUCCUGUCUGAAUAUGGGGGGACCAUCCUCCAAGGCUAAAUACUCCUGACUGACCGAUAGUGAACCAGUACCGUGAGGGAAAGGCGAAAAGAACCCCGGCGAGGGGAGUGAAAAAGAACCUGAAACCGUGUACGUACAAGCAGUGGGAGCACCUUCGGGUGUGACUGCGUACCUUUUGUAUAAUGGGUCAGCGACUUAUAUUCUGUAGCAAGGUUAACCGUAUAGGGGAGCCGCAGGGAAACCGAGUCUUAACUGGGCGUUAAGUUGCAGGGUAUAGACCCGAAACCCGGUGAUCUAGCCAUGGGCAGGUUGAAGGUUGGGUAACACUAACUGGAGGACCGAACCGACUAAUGUUGAAAAAUUAGCGGAUGACUUGUGGCUGGGGGUGAAAGGCCAAUCAAACCGGGAGAUAGCUGGUUCUCCCCGAAAGCUAUUUAGGUAGCGCCUCGUGAACUCAUCUUCGGGGGUAGAGCACUGUUUCGGCUAGGGGGUCAUCCCGACUUACCAACCCGAUGCAAACUACGAAUACCGAAGAAUGUUAUCACGGGAGACACACGGCGGGUGCUAACGUCCGUCGUGAAGAGGGAAACAACCCAGACCGCCAGCUAAGGUCCCAAAGUCAUGGUUAAGUGGGAAACGAUGUGGGAAGGCACAGACAGCCAGGAUGUUGGCUUAGAAGCAGCCAUCAUUUAAAGAAAGCGUAAUAGCUCACUGGUCGAGUCGGCCUGCGCGGAAGAUGUAACGGGGCUAAACCAUGCACCGAAGCUGCGGCAGCGACACUAUGUGUUGUUGGGUAGGGGAGCGUUCUGUAAGCCUGCGAAGGUGUGCUGUGAGGCAUGCUGGAGGUAUCAGAAGUGCGAAUGCUGACAUAAGUAACGAUAAAGCGGGUGAAAAGCCCGCUCGCCGGAAGACCAAGGGUUCCUGUCCAACGUUAAUCGGGGCAGGGUGAGUCGACCCCUAAGGCGAGGCCGAAAGGCGUAGUCGAUGGGAAACAGGUUAAUAUUCCUGUACUUGGUGUUACUGCGAAGGGGGGACGGAGAAGGCUAUGUUAGCCGGGCGACGGUUGUCCCGGUUUAAGCAUGUAGGCUGGUUGUCCAGGCAAAUCCGGAUAAUCAAGGCUGAGGUGUGAUGACGAGGCACUACGGUGCUGAAGUAACAAAUGCCCUGCUUCCAGGAAAAGCCUCUAAGCAUCAGGUAACAUCAAAUCGUACCCCAAACCGACACAGGUGGUCAGGUAGAGAAUACCAAGGCGCUUGAGAGAACUCGGGUGAAGGAACUAGGCAAAAUGGUGCCGUAACUUCGGGAGAAGGCACGCUGGUGUGUAGGUGAAGCCCCUGCGGGUGGAGCUGAGACCAGUCGAAGAUACCAGCUGGCUGCAACUGUUUAUUAAAAACACAGCACUGUGCAAACACGAAAGUGGACGUAUACGGUGUGACGCCUGCCCGGUGCCGGAAGGUUAAUUGAUGGGGUUAUCCGUAAGGAGAAGCUCUUGAUCGAAGCCCCGGUAAACGGCGGCCGUAACUAUAACGGUCCUAAGGUAGCGAAAUUCCUUGUCGGGUAAGUUCCGACCUGCACGAAUGGCGUAAUGAUGGCCAGGCUGUCUCCACCCGAGACUCAGUGAAAUUGAACUCGCUGUGAAGAUGCAGUGUACCCGCGGCAAGACGGAAAGACCCCGUGAACCUUUACUAUAGCUUGACACUGAACAUUGAGCCUUGAUGUGUAGGAUAGGUGGGAGGCUUUGAAGCGUGGACGCCAGUCUGCGUGGAGCCAACCUUGAAAUACCACCCUUUAAUGUUUGAUGUUCUAACGUUGGCCCCUGACCGGGGUUGCGGACAGUGUCUGGUGGGUAGUUUGACUGGGGCGGUCUCCUCCCAAAGCGUAACGGAGGAGCACGAAGGUUAGCUAAUCCUGGUCGGACAUCAGGAGGUUAGUGCAAUGGCAUAAGCUAGCUUGACUGCGAGCGUGACGGCGCGAGCAGGUGCGAAAGCAGGUCAUAGUGAUCCGGUGGUUCUGAAUGGAAGGGCCAUCGCUCAACGGAUAAAAGGUACUCCGGGGAUAACAGGCUGAUACCGCCCAAGAGUUCAUAUCGACGGCGGUGUUUGGCACCUCGAUGUCGGCUCAUCACAUCCUGGGGCUGAAGUAGGUCCCAAGGGUAUGGCUGUUCGCCAUUUAAAGUGGUACGCGAGCUGGGUUUAGAACGUCGUGAGACAGUUCGGUCCCUAUCUGCCGUGGGCGCUGGAGAAUUGAGGGGGGCUGCUCCUAGUACGAGAGGACCGGAGUGGACGCAUCACUGGUGUUCGGGUUGUCAUGCCAAUGGCACUGCCCGGUAGCUAAAUGCGGAAGAGAUAAGUGCUGAAAGCAUCUAAGCACGAAACUUGCCCCGAGAUGAGUUCUCCCUGAGACUUUAAGUCUCCUGAAGGAACGUUGAAGACGACGACGUUGAUAGGCCGGGUGUGUAAGCGCAGCGAUGCGUUGAGCUAACCGGUACUAAUGAACCGUGAGGCUUAACCUUACAACGCCGAAG